UCUCCACUGCAAGGUUACUUUGUUCCUGAUUUCUGUCCUCUACUCCUUGGAAUGAGGUCGCUAUGUGCAGCCCAUGUUGAAGAAGUGGAGAGUUAAGCUCCAACACUUUGAAGGUGUGGUGCCAAGGACUAUUGAAGCUCUCUCACUACCAGCCUAAAGAUAAGGCCAAUACCAAGCACUGUUCGUAUGGAAAAAUGAUAAGCGUGUACCAUGCAAAGAGGAUCAUUAUUCACUUAAUUCUGUAUAACUGAGGUCCAGUGAAAGGGGAAAAGAUAUGCAAGGACUCGUCAUCGUGGUAAGUAGACUGUGUUAACUGUGUUGAUAAUCUUGACUGAAAUGGAAGCAAUGGAAUGGAGACAAGGGGAAGGACGAGAGAUGUAGUUAUUAGGUACCAGUGAUGGGAUUUGUUGACUGGUUGUGGGGAUCGAGAAGGGAGGAAUGUAAAUGACUUAUAGGGCCAACUGGAUUUGUGAUAAUGUCAAUUACUGAGAUAUUAAAAAUAGGAGAGGAAGCCAGUUUAGGAGAUGGGAAGAAGAGUGAGAUUGAUUUCAAACUGAAUAGGAAAGUAUUAACCUAAAUAUUAGCUACUCUUAUGUA
Long non-coding RNA from Equus caballus (horse), 597 nucleotides. RefSeq lists it as uncharacterized. The record is from RefSeq and is a predicted model, not a curated record. NCBI's taxonomy places the organism in Eukaryota, Metazoa, Chordata, Mammalia, Perissodactyla, Equidae.